This 491-nucleotide ribosomal RNA is filed under the name uncultured bacterium. RNAcentral describes it as "partial 16S ribosomal RNA". It matches the Rfam family "Bacterial small subunit ribosomal RNA", at positions 29 to 506 of the family's 1533-position model. The record is from RNAcentral.
AGUGAACGCUGGCGGUAGGCCUAACACAUGCAAGUCGAACGGCAGCACAGUAAGAGCUUGCUCUUACGGGUGGCGAGUGGCGGACGGGUGAGGAAUACAUCGGAAUCUACUUUUUCGUGGGGGAUAACGUAGGGAAACUUACGCUAAUACCGCAUACGACCUACGGGUGAAGGCAGGGGAUCUUCGGACCUUGCGCGAUUGAAUGAGCCGAUGUCGGAUUAGCUAGUUGGCGGGGUAAAGGCCCACCAAGGCGACGAUCCGUAGCUGGUCUGAGAGGAUGAUCAGCCACACUGGAACUGAGACACGGUCCAGACUCCUACGGGAGGCAGCAGUGGGGAAUAUUGGACAAUGGGCGCAAGCCUGAUCCAGCCAUACCGCGUGGGUGAAGAAGGCCUUCGGGUUGUAAAGCCCUUUUGUUGGGAAAGAAAAGCAGCAGGUUAAGACCCCGCUGUUCUGACGGUACCCAAAGAAUAAGCACCGGCUAACUUCGU